RNAcentral lists this ribosomal RNA (492 nucleotides) under uncultured bacterium. RNAcentral describes it as "partial 16S ribosomal RNA". It matches the Rfam family "Bacterial small subunit ribosomal RNA", at positions 29 to 507 of the family's 1533-position model. The record is from RNAcentral.
AGUGAACGCUGGCGGUAGGCCUAACACAUGCGAGUCGAACGGCAGCACAGUAAGGGCUUGCUCUUACGGGUGGCGAGUGGCGGACGGGUGAGGAAUACAUCGGAAUCUACUUUUUCGUGGGGGAUAACGUAGGGAAACUUACGCUAAUACCGCAUACGACCUACGGGUGAAAGCAGGGGAUCUUCGGACCUUGCGCGAUUGAAUGAGCCGAUGUCGGAUUAGCUAGUUGGCGGGGUAAGGGCCCACCAAGGCGACGAUCCGUAGCUGGUCUGAGAGGAUGAUCAGCCACACUGGAACUGAGACACGGUCCAGACUCCUACGGGAGGCAGCAGUGGGGAAUAUUGGACAAUGGGCGCAAGCCUGAUCCAGCCAUACCGCGUGGGUGAAGAAGGCCUUCGGGUUGUAAAGCCCUUUUGUUGGGAAAGAAAAGCAGCAGGUUAAUACCCCGCUGUUCUGACGGUACCCAAAGAAUAAGCACCGGCUAACUUCGUG